GAACCCGGGCCCAUAGCAGUCAAAGCACUUAGUCGUAACCACUGGACCACCAGGGAAUUCCUGGGAGCAAGAUUUUAAAUGUAGAGAUUUGAUACUAAAACUUUGGCUACUCCUGUGCAGAGAGGUUCUUAAAGAGUUCAGCCGUAGCUGGAAUUUGUUAGCAAGUGGCAUGUGGGAUCUUCGUUCCCCGACCAGGGAUGAAACCAGCGCCCCCUGCAGUGGAAGUGCGGAGUCUUAACCACUGGACUGCCACGGAGGUCCCUUAACUCUCUCCUUUUAAUUUAGGUAGUUCAAGAUUCCUGACAUUCAAAACAGCUGGCUUUUAAUACACUGCUACUGCAUCAAAUCGACGAUGAACUGGAAUGCAAAAUCAGAGAGUGUCACCUUACCACCACAGUAUCCUAAAAAACAGGCAUCUUUUUUGGAGCAAGCUUUAGUAAACACACUUACCACAGCAUCUCAAAGUUCUUUAAACCAUCCUGGAAGUAACCAAGAACCAUGCCUAUUUCUCAGUAAUUUAAAUCCAGUUUCACAGCCGCUGCUCAACAUCAGAAAUUAUAAAACUCCUCAACAAAUCCCUGUUUCUGAUAUGCAUAGUGGGACCAUUGUGACCUCACAAACUUCAGUAGAAAGAAUAACAUAUGCAAAUGUUAAAGGACCCAAACAACCAAAUCACGAUUUGCAAAUGUCUUCAGGAGUUACACAGGAUGUAUGGUUGAACUCACCAAUGAGGAAUUCUAUGCUUUCUCAUACAGGGGCAACUGUAUCUCAUCAGACUGGUUUUGGAACGAAUAUGUCCAAUGUACGUGCACUACAGAAUCAAUUUCUAACAUCAGAUACCUAUUCUAUGCAACUACAAAUGAUCCCUUCUAAUUCCGGAAGAGUUCCUAUAACUUAUCAAGGAAACCCGAGACUUAACCUACCUUUAUCAGAGCAACAGGUUGAUUGGGCACAGCAGUGUGCAUCCAGUGGAUUGACUUACCCAGAUUACAGACCACUUCCAAAGCAAUAUAGUUAUUCAUCACGAAGCUUUUUGCAGGAUCCUACUCUUCAGAAACAAACCCCUAUGUCAUCUGUAUCAUUACAAGUUAAAAAUAGUCAAUCUCCAAAUCCUGCCCUGACUUUACAGUCAAAGCAGAUUGCAACUGUACCGUCGUAUCAAUAUGUAGUUACUCAAACUGACAAAAGACCUCCUCCUCCUCCUUAUGACUGUAGGUAUGCAAGUCAGCCUCUGCAAAGUACUCAGCAUGUUGUUAAACACACUUCUAUGGAAGUUCCUCAGAGUCAAGAAAUGCACUUAUCUGAAAUGAGAAAAGACUUUUGUAGAGGCUUUCAGCAGCAGUGGCAAAACCUUAAUGAAAAUUUCAACACAGUGGGAAAUUCCUGUAACCUGAGAGUAAAUACCAAUGUCAAUCAGCCUUUUAAUGAACCUGUUAGAUCUUCUGUGGAUGGUGUUCAGGCUCUUGCUCAAAAUAAUCAAGAGAAAAGAGUGGAUUCUCGAAAUCUAACUUCAAAUCAAGUACUGGACACAAGUGCCACAAAAGAAAAGUUAGUGAGGGAUAUUAAAACAUUAGUAGAAAUAAAAAAGAAGUUUUCGGACCUUGCAAGGAAAAUUAAAAUUAAUAAAAAUCUUUUGAUGGCAGCAGGUUGUAUUAAAACAACUAAUACCUCUUAUAGUGAAUCAGCUCAAAAUUGUGGGUUGUCUCUGAAACAAACUGCCAAAAUCCAGUCUGGACCACAGGUAACCCUAGGCCCUCCAGAUGCUGUGGAGGAUAAACCACCAACGGUAAUGGAAUCUGCAGAAGAAACAAAUAGAACACACAAUACAUUGAAUUCCAACCUUCAGGACGGAAAUUUUAACCAAGUCAGUUCUGUUUUACUAAAUUCUGGCUGUUCGCAAGUUGUGAGUUCUUUAAAGACAUCAACUGUUGAGAUUACCCAGGCAAUAUUAAAUAACACCCAAUUUUCAUCAGGAAAUUUAGUCAACGUUGCACAAAAUGUGCCAACAAAUUCUGAAGCAACUUCUCUUCCUCAGUCUACAUCCUUUGAGGAAUAUGUUUCAAAAUAUCCAAAUAAAAAUAGGCUAAUUCUCAGUUUACUUGCAUCUGGAAAUAAAACUCAGAAAAAAUUAUUAAAAGAUACUAAUGAACGUAUUCAUGAUUCUAAACUGCAUAGUUUUGAAAUGAAUCCAAAUAUCCAGAACACUGGUAACCAAGUGAAUUUGAAACCCAUGGAAACUCCAGGUACUCCAAGUACUUGUAAUAUAAAUGCCAAGAUUUCAAACAACUCUUCUUACUUUGAGCAUAAAUCCUUCAAUGGAAUGUCUUCUAAAAGUGACUCUCACUUUUCCAUGGAAUUGCUGGCAACAUGUCUUUCUUUGUGGAAAAAGCAACCUUCAGAACCUACAGAAGAAAAACAGUGUAAUGAGUCAAAAACAAACACAACAGCAGUUGGAAUUUCAAAGCCUGUGGACAUCUGUGAGAAGAGUCCAUUUUCAGCUGUGGGAAAUUCUCAGAAUAAAAUUGUAAAUAGCUCACAAGAAACAGUUUUAUCAAUGGCAGCACAGAAUUAUGAGUCUUCAGGAGCAACUACUACAAAGGGGAUUGCUGUAGUAUCACCCUUAAUUCUCUCAGAUGUCAAAACAUUGUCUGUCAAAGGUAUAACACCCGAAGCUUUACCUGAAACAAUGUAUCCAGUUAUUAAAGAAGGCAGUGUUUGUAGCUUACAAAACAAAUCGAUGGAAAAUACUGCUGCUUUGAACGUUAAUGAACCAGUGACAAGUACCACAAACACCAAGAUUUUCCCACUAAUUCAGAAGGAUAAGCAAAGUGAAUCAACUAAUACUAAUUCAGAAGUCACACCUAAUACCAAUCAAGGAAAGCAUAACAAAUCAGAACCAGAUAUCCAGUAUCCUGUGAGUAAUCAGCAAACCACAUAUAUAUCAAAGGACAGUGAUAUUGUGGGCAGAGAUGUAUUACAGAUUGGCAGUAUUUGUUCCCUUGUUGAAGGUGAUACCGCUUAUAAUUCCCAAAUAGCAAAGAUAUUCAACUUGCCCUCUUUGCAAAAGGUUGAGCCACAGAAACCUCUACCCAAUCACCAAGUAAUGAAUAAUAGACAAAAUGAACAAUUUGACAAUAUCACUGGAAAUAAAGACUUUGACUUUCAAAAAGAGAAUUUUGUACAGUGCACAGAUGUUUCACAUGAAAUAACUGAUCAGUUAGAGUCACUGCAACCUCCAGAACCAUCGACUUUGAAGUACAUUGGAGCAACGAGUGGAAUUCUUGAGGAAAGCAGUUUGGAGCAUAUCACUAAAAAUGAAAGCAUGGCUAAUGAUAUGUGUUCACCAGCUGCUAUUCAGCACGAUAGUUACCCUCAGGAAGCGGCCCAGGAUCCUACAACAAAUGAGAAUCUCAAAGAUAAGACAUCGAUCUUAUACCUACAUGAUCAGCUGUCAGAACUUUUAAAAGAGUUUCCCUAUGGUAUUGAACCUGUGAACAUGCAUGAAGGUUUUGUGGUCCAACAAAUGGCACACCGAAUCUCAAAAGCUCAAACUUGUGAUAAAACCAGUUGUGACUCCAAAGACUUAACAGACCAGAUACAAAUUACAAUAUUAAAUUCAGAGCAAAUGAAAGAAUUAUUUCCUGAACAGGAUGAUCAACCCAAUGAUGUAGACAAACUGACAGAGCCUCAGAAAGAAAAGCCUGUCACAAAAGAAGGGAACCAGUGUGACCCACAAGCACAUACAGUUGAAGAAACCUGUGAUUCUGUAAUACUGGAUUCAGAAAAAGAUGAUGUCCGUUGCUGUGCAUUGGGGUGGCUGUCUAUGGUUUAUGAAGGAGUACCUCAAUGCCAGUGUAAUUCCACUAAGAACUCAACUUCAAAGGAAGAAAAAGGGAAAGAUCCACAUUCUCCUUUGGAGACCAACGGUUAUAAACAAGGAGAGAGAACCUCUGACAGAGAUGUUCCUAUUGCAUUUAACAGUCUUCCAAAUAAUCAGCUGAAGAUUCCUCUGACUUGUCCAGUUGAGAAAAAACCUUUUCCUGAAACAGAGCAAGGCAGGAAUAUAAAAGAUAAAUCCAAAUCAGAACAUAACAGCUCAUUAAGGACAGAACAAGAAUUAUCUGGUCACUUUUUAUCUAAAGGUGAUAAAAAACCAGAUUCUUUGCAGAGUCACAAAAGAAAAAGAAAACUGCAAUUUCAUGAGAUAACUUUUCACUCCACUAACAAAAUUGCAAAAUUUUCUCAAGAGAGCCUGCAGAGGAAGCUCAUGGCACAAAACUUACGACCGCUAAAACCAAAGAUGGGUUUUUUGACAAGUAAAAAUAAAGAUUUGCAUGUGAAGAAUGGUUCUUUGGUACAGUCAGUAUCACCGGAAAAAAGAAAAUUGAAAGCAAGUGGCUCUAAACAAAAAGUUUUGGAAAAGAAGUUAGAUGAAGGGAGCAUACUUGAUUCAGAGAUAAAGAGGAAGAAGUAUGAUAAACAAGAGCAGAAUAAGAAUGUGGGAGGUGGUGCAUUUAAAUUCUGUAACCUUUUCUCAACCACAGGUGAAAGAGCCAGAAUUAAAGAAAAGACAGUGUCAAAUGUUAAGUCCUCAGGCUCUAUGGAUAGCUCAUCUAAAAUUAAUAGAGUUCUAUCACCAAAGGAGUAUUUAUCAAGGCAGAAGCAUAAAGAAGCAUUAAAGAAAAACUAUCUGAAAAAUGUACCAUGUGAUUCUCAGUAUAUGAGGUCCAAUAAACUUUCUACACGAGUGGGAAGUUGUGGGAGAUCAAAUGAGAGACACAAUGGCAGUGUACAGACCUCUAAGGAAUCAUUAAAUAUUGGUACAAGCCAUGGUAAAAACCUCAAAGCCCAUCAUUCCAAAGAGCCUAAAACAUACAUUUCAAGGAAUAUUAAAGGAACAGUUGGUGGAAAGCAACCUGAUAAAAUGUGGAUUGAUAAAACCAAAUUAGACAAAAAUUUAAGUAAUGUAAAUAAUGAUGUUGAAUUCAGCCAAAUGGCUUCCCAAGCAAAGGAUCAAAGGAAACUGUAUCUGAACAGAGUUGCAUUUAAAUGCACUGAACGUGAGCGCAUUUGUCUCACAAAAUUAGACAAUUCACCCAGGAAGCUUAAUAAAGAAAAGAGACCAGAAAAUAAACCUAAGACCCUUUUACCUGUGAAAGAUACCACAGAGAAACUAAGCAUGCUGGAGUUUAAAUUAUGUCCAGAUGGACUAUUUAAGAAUACAAACCCUGUUGAAGACCAGAAGGAUCUGCCAUCUACUCCUAGGAAGGAGCAAGCUCCUGUGCAAGUUUCAGGAAUAAAAAGUACAAAAGAAGACUGGUUAAAAUGUGUGACUGAGGAGAAAAGGAUGCCGGAAGCCAACCAAGAAAUAGGUAAAGCCGUCUGUUUAAGUUUUUAUUUUACUUACCUGGCACUCUGUCAUAUAUAAGCUGGAUUACAGUUAUGAAACUAUUGUGAAGUUUGGUUUUUAUCCAUAUUCUUUUAAAAAAUAGUUCAGUGUCUGUAUGAGUGGUAGGAAGACAUUCUCCUAUUUUUUCUGUCAUGCUGUGGACAGAGAAGUAGUGAUCUAUUUCCUUUUAACAAGAGAAUUCUCAUCACAGUGACUUAAGACAAGGGGUUGGCAUACUUCUUCUGUGUAGAUAGGUUUUGCAAAUCAUAAUGUCUCUCCUAAAUACUCUAACAUUGCAGUGAGAAGUGGCUGUAGAAUAAUGAGCUAUAGCAUGGGCUAUGUUCCAAUUAAACUUUACCAAAACUUGCUAGAGGCUGGGCUUGGCCCACAGGCAUACCCUGUUAGCCAACCCCUAGAUUAGAUUAUUUGCAAGUUAGUUAAUUAAAUUCUCAAAACCAGGGAGACAAAGAUGUUCCCAUUUAUCAAUGAGAGGUUAGAUCAUUUGGCUAAAGUUACAUAGCCAGUAACUCAAUAGGGACUUGAACCACUUCCCUGUCUUCAAAGUUUAUUAAGUGUGGAAUUUGAGUUAUUUUGAUGACGAAAGACUGAUGCUCCUAGUUUUUUGUUUUGUUUUGGUUUUGGGUUUUUUUUUGUUGUUGUUGUUGGGAAGGGUUUUGGGCUGAGGGCCAACCAGAAAACCAGAAUUUUUAGUAUCUGAUUUUUAAUUAGUGGAAUGAAUGUAUUUUGUGUUUUAGGGUUUUGCAUUGAGAACUGGAACCUAGGGUUCAGGAAUUUUAUUUUAGUUUUGGUUAAUUAAAUACACAAAGAAGAGUUCAUAAGAGUCUUGAAAAUUGGGAGAAGCAGAAUUUUGCCAGGAGCAACAAUAAAGAGAAGCAAGAGAAGAAGUGUGACAAAGGUUGAGAAGAGUUUAUAAAGAAUAUAUGUAAGCAGGCAUGUAGAAAUGGAGUCUUAUACAUUGAAGAUACAUAAAGGGAAAAAGAAACCUGAAUGAAAGAAUCGAAGGAAGAAGAAAUGUACACUCUUAAUUAGAACAGGAAGACAACUGAAAGAGGGGGAAAUGAAUUAGAGAGUAGAAAACACACCCCUACAGUUGGAACACAGGAAGUGAAAUAUGAGAAAGAUGGAAAUGGGUGUGGAGAUUGCAGCAAGAAAGUACCUUGGAAAAAGGGAGGGCCAUAAGUUUUGCCUCAGAGAGAGUUGAGAGGCAUAACUGGAAUCUGAAUCUGAAAAUACUCAGAAGACAGAUAUAUGCACAGGUUGACCAGAGGCUCAGGGAGCAGCAUGAGCUAAAUGACAGACAUGAAGAUACCUGCAGACAGGAUGAGCAAUAAACACUGAAGGUGGAACAUCAGUACUCAGGAUCACUAUGAAAAUGACACAAAGCAGGGCCCAGGCACAAUGAGAGAUGCAGCAGGGUGAGAGAAAAGCUAAGAAACAAGUCCAGAGCUCUGUCAAAAGUCUUACGAGACUCAGGGAAAUCAUGAAAGACAGAACAUACCAAGAGGAAGAGGCUGGAGAACUGGAACUCCCAGAGAGCUAUAAAAAACACACUUUAGAUAAGCGACACCUAAAUUUGGUGGCAAAGGUUGGAGCGUAGAUGGAGCAAGCCGUGAAACUCAGGGUGAGGUAGAAGAAGAGGAGGUGACAGAAUCCAGCGGAAAGCAGCUUAGAGCUGCUGCUCAGGUAUCAGCAUUCAUAACAGAAAGCUGAUGUGCACGGAGAGGAAUUUGAAACAGAUAAAGAAUUAAGAGUAACCAUCCUCUGUUACCAAAAAAAUAAAGAAAGAAGAGGACAGAGUGCUUGACCCACCCAGGCAGAAAAAGAUGAUAAUGUUUUGGCUAAUUCAAGACUCUCCAAGAGAAGUUUCAGUGCAGAUGGAUUUGAG
Molecule: RNA transcript, 7295 nt
Organism: Eubalaena glacialis (North Atlantic right whale)
Lineage: Eukaryota; Metazoa; Chordata; Mammalia; Artiodactyla; Balaenidae
Gene: RESF1
Gene name: retroelement silencing factor 1
Exons: 6
Source: RefSeq, a predicted model, not a curated record